Long non-coding RNA from Solea senegalensis (Senegalese sole), 806 nucleotides. RefSeq lists it as uncharacterized. NCBI's taxonomy places the organism in Eukaryota, Metazoa, Chordata, Actinopteri, Pleuronectiformes, Soleidae. The record is from RefSeq and is a predicted model, not a curated record. The transcript has 3 exons.
UGCACCGUGUGCUCGUACCCACUGCAGGAAAGCUGGCAUCUAUUACACAGAAUGCAGAGUGGGUACUCAGUUCUUGUUUCUUGGGAGAUUGCGAAACAGUGCAGUCAGGCUUCCUGUCAAAGGGCCACGCAGCCAUCUGUCAUGUCACCACAGGACGAAGGCUCAACAGGCUAAAGGGUGCAGGUGUCAAUCUGUUGUUUUCUUUUUUACAGUCAUUUUAUGUGGAAGGCAGGAAGCGACUAGAUAAACCGUCUACCAAAUUGAACCCACACUGAGGCGUCCCGAGGAUCCUGAGGAAGCCGACGCUCUGCACACUGUGAGGAGUGAUUGUUCUGCCUCCUUCAUCGGGGUCAACACAUCACAUGACUGACUGCUCGGUAAAUCCAGCAGACACAAGAACCGUGUUAAAGGACUGACGUAGGCAGAAGGGAUGUUUCUGAACCAAGUCGAUAAGCAGGAGGCCUGUAAAAGCUCAGAGCCGAGAUCCCGCCCACCGCCGGCUCCUCCAUGACAGCGUGACAUGUACACCGGCCUCGGCUGCAGGACAACUGGAAGAACUGGUCCACGAUGUAUGCGUAUUCAAAACUACACAUCAGAUUCAAAGCAAUCAUCUGUGUCGACUGCUCCCAUCUAUACACACACAUCCAUACAGCUGACGGUGCACACAGACAUUACAGGCAGACUUCACAUUCUUCUCUUAUUUCAGUGGCGCCGCAUCCACACAAAGGUAGACCUAUUCAUAUUUAUAAGCCUCUCGUACCACAGACAGCGUACAGUGGAGAGGGAUUCUCUUAAAGUGACUGUAA